Molecule: ribosomal RNA, 1398 nt
Filed under: uncultured bacterium
Lineage: Bacteria
Description: 16S ribosomal RNA
Rfam family: Bacterial small subunit ribosomal RNA
Source: RNAcentral
AGAGUUUGAUCCUGGCUCAGGAUGAACGCUAGCUACAGGCUUAACACAUGCAAGUCGAGGGGCAGCAUGAACAUAGCUUGCUAUGUUUGAUGGCGACCGGCGCACGGGUGCGUAACACGUAUCCAAUCUGCCCGUCACUCGGGGAUAGCCUUCUGAAAGGAAGAUUAAUACCCGAUGGGAUGCAUUUCCGGCAUCGGAGAUGCAUUAAAGAUUUUAUCGGUGACGGAUGAGGAUGCGUACGAUUAGCUUGUUGGCGGGGUAACGGCCCACCAAGGCGACGAUCGUUAGGGGUUCUGAGAGGAAGGUCCCCCACACUGGAACUGAGACACGGUCCAGACUCCUACGGGAGGCAGCAGUGAGGAAUAUUGGUCAAUGGGCGGGAGCCUGAACCAGCCAAGUAGCGUGAAGGAUGACUGCCCUACGGGUUGUAAACUUCUUUUGUUUGGGAAUAAAAGACGCUACGUGUAGCGUUCUGCAUGUACCUUACGAAUAAGCAUCGGCUAAUUCCGUGCCAGCAGCCGCGGUAAUACGGAAGAUGCGAGCGUUAUCCGGAUUUAUUGGGUUUAAAGGGUGCGCAGGCGGCGCGUUAAGUCAGCGGUGAAAUGUCGGGGCUCAACCCCGGCACUGCCGUUGAAACUGGCGUGCUCGAGUACGGAUGAAGCGGGCGGAAUGUGAUGUGUAGCGGUGAAAUGCUUAGAUAUGUCACAGAACACCGAUUGCGAAGGCAGCUCGCUAAUCCGCAACUGACGCUCAUGCACGAAAGCGUGGGGAUCGAACAGGAUUAGAUACCCUGGUAGUCCACGCAGUAAACGAUGAAGGCUAGCUAUUGGCGAUAUACAGUCAGUGGCCAAGGGAAACCGAUAAGCCUUCCACCUGGGGAGUACGCCGGCAACGGUGAAACUCAAAGGAAUUGACGGGGGCCCGCACAAGCGGAGGAACAUGUGGUUUAAUUCGAUGAUACGCGAGGAACCUUACCCGGGCUUGAAAGUUAGUGCCGGACCUGGAAACAGGUCCUUCCGCAAGGACACGAAACUAGGUGCUGCAUGGUUGUCGUCAGCUCGUGCCGUGAGGUGUCGGCUCAAGUGCCAUAACGAGCGCAACCCUUGUCGCCAGUUGCCAUCAGGUGAUGCUGGGCACUCUGGCGGGACUGCCAUCGCAAGAUGUGAGGAAGGUGGGGAUGACGUCAAAUCAGCACGGCCCUUACGUCCGGGGCUACACACGUGUUACAAUGGGGGGUACAGAAUGCAGCUGGGCGGCGACGUCCGGCCAAUCACCAAAUCCCCUCUCAGUUCGGACUGGAGUCUGCAACCCGACUCCACGAAGCUGGAUUCGCUAGUAAUCGCGCAUCAGCCAUGGCGCGGUGAAUACGUUCCCGGGCCUUGUACUCACCGCCCGUCA